RNAcentral lists this ribosomal RNA (423 nucleotides) under uncultured bacterium. Its description in RNAcentral is "bacterial SSU rRNA". It matches the Rfam family "Bacterial small subunit ribosomal RNA", at positions 207 to 622 of the family's 1533-position model. The record is from RNAcentral.
AAGACCUUGCGCUUUUGGAGCGGCCGAUGUCUGAUUAGCUUGUUGGUGAGGUAAAGGCUUACCAAGGCUUCGAUCAGUAGCUGGUCUGAGAGGACGGCCAGCCACACUGGGASUGAGACACGGCCCAGACUCCUACGGGAGGCAGCAGUGGGGAAUUUUGGACAAUGGGGGCAACCCUGAUCCAGCCAUGCCGCGUGAGUGAAGAAGGCCUUCGGGUUGUAAAGCUCUUUCAGCCGGAACGAAACGGUUACGGUUAAUACCCGUGACUACUGACGGUACCGGAAGAAGAAGCACCGGCUAACUACGUGCCAGCAGCCGCGGUAAUACGUAGGGUGCAAGCGUUAAUCGGAAUUACUGGGCGUAAAGCGUGCGCAGGUGGUUUUGUAAGUCAGAUGUGAAAUCCCCGGGCUUAACCUGGGAACU